This 300-nucleotide unclassified non-coding RNA is filed under the name uncultured Ascomycota. Its description in RNAcentral is "sequence contains 5.8S rRNA gene, ITS2". The stretch from base 1 to 95 matches the Rfam family "5.8S ribosomal RNA", at positions 55 to 154 of the family's 154-position model. Lineage: Eukaryota; Fungi; Ascomycota. The record is from RNAcentral.
GCGUCAGAUGUGUAUAAGAGACAGGUGAAUCAUCGAAUCUUUGAACGCACAUUGCCCCCCUCGGUAUUCCGUGGGGGAUGCCUGUUCGAGCGUCAUUUGUACCCUCAAGCAUUGCUUGGUGUUGGGCGAUUGUCCGUUUAAGGACUCGCCUUAAAUAUAUUGGCAGCUGGUAUUCUGGUUUUAAGCGUAGCACAAUUACGUUUUCCUCGAGAGCGCCCGCAUCCACAAAGUACAUUAUCACGUUUGACCUCGGAUCAGGUAGGGAUACCCGCUGAACUUAAGCAUAUCAAUAAGCGGAGG